RNAcentral lists this long non-coding RNA (17689 nucleotides) under Setaria italica (foxtail millet). RNAcentral's name for it is "long non-coding RNA (SITA_LNC005517)". Lineage: Eukaryota; Viridiplantae; Streptophyta; Magnoliopsida; Poales; Poaceae. The record is from RNAcentral.
AUGCUAUACUAGUGCUUUCUGUUCUCGGUGACUAUAGUUGACAAAGAAGGUCUGAACAUCCUCUCAUUGAAACUCUAGAGAUGGUGAGAAGGCAAAAGGACGUUGAUCUGACAGUUCCACAUGCUGCUGGAAGGAACAGUAUCAAAGGUUAAUUCAUCAGACUAGGAACACACAAGAGAAGAAACUGAUGGGGAUCAUCAGACUAGGCAUAAACUAGCGGAGAUGCACAGUUGCCAUUGCAGUUCGAUGAACAACUGCCAAGUCGUUCCGCGAUAGCAAAUGGCAACAACGCCCUUCUACCCUUCCGCAUCUCCGCCUCCGUAUCCUUCGUCGCCAACUGCCGCCGGUGAGCCGGGGACCUCGCCGAGGAAGCCUGCCGCCGGCCCGCCCCGCAGAUGAGAAUAAGAGCCGGGACCCGAAUCAGGGGGAUUUAUGCAAAAAGUUGGAUCGCGAUUAUUGAUCGUGAUCCAAAUUAGGGGUCUUUUGAAAAAUGUAAGGAGUUUUGUGAAAAUAAUCGAAUCGCGAUCCAAAUUAGGAGUUAUUUUGUAAAAUGCAAGGGGCAUUUCGUAAAACCAGGUCUUCUUCCUCCUCUCGCCCGCUGGAUUUCGCUGAGACUCGCCGUCUCAUCCUCUGCCCAAUGGGGCAGCUUAAGCAGGGCAUCCCAUGCCCGCCGUAAGAAGACGAGCGAGUAUGGAGGUCAUUAUCACCACGUAGCGGGAGCUCGACGCCGCCGCCGUCCGCGUCCACUGGCGAUAGACAGACCAGGAGGACACGAAGCUCCGCUCCUCCGUCCCGGGAGCCGGGACCUACGCAGCGCAGCCUCGUCGCACACCACUCCUACUCCAUGGCGCCGCCGUUGGCCGGCCGCCGCCGACAUUCCGGAUUCUAAGCCUCUCGCUGCUCGCUCCUCCAUGCCCCCUGCUUUCCCUUUCCUCCUCUGCUCCUGCUUUUGCUUCCUUGAAGAAUAAUGCAUGGUAGAUCAGUAGAUGUGUCGAGUCAGUUAUCUAUUGUGUUCUUGUAUAUCUGCAAAAGUGACGACGGACAAAUUUCCUCUAUUUCCUUUUCUUUCCGGGCGUGCAAUGGGUGAAGGACAGAUUUCUUCAGAUAACGAGUGGUGCUGGUGCAUGCUGGAAAUAUUUCUGUGCAGAGGUUAUCGAUUCCUACCCAAGUCAGUCUAGAUCGUUUCAUGGUUUAAACCAUGACUGUUGCGUGCUAAGUAAACCCUCCAAAUUUGAAACGGCAAUGUCAUCCUCUGAAAUCAGCUCACUUCAUCUGUUUAUCUACAAACAAGUACACAAGUAUGAACAGUCAACGUAUACGUAAUGCUUAUACAUUACACCGUAGUCGUGAAAUUGCUCAUGUUCGUGCCGAAUGAACAAGGAUUAGGCAGGCUCUUCUGCCAGAAUUACCUACUCCAAAAGCAACCAUCUUGUCCCGUGACCUGUAUGGACCGUCAGUUCAACAGAUCACAGAUGUGAUCUUCAUUUCUGUACUUUCCUUCAUUUUAGCUUGGUACCGAGUGAAGGCAAAGCUUCAGAAUGCAUUAGCUGAUGGCAACGCUACUUUGGAAUGCCAUCGAUCCCGCUCUUCGAAAAAGCGAAGAAACCUAAAAAGAAAGCCCUGGAUCUCUCUGGGUUUCAGAAAUCACAGCUGAGCUCGUUUCAAGUAAACCAUAACUGCUGCGCCACUGAGAGCAACUGCACCAGCCAUCAACCCAACAUGAACCGGCGAUAUCCCACUCCUGCUGGGAGGUGGUGCCAGCUGCUGUGACGGUUUUGUCACUUCGGUAUUCAAACCAGGAUCUUCGAUGUGCAACUUCAGCACCUAACAGUGAGCAUUCAGUUUGGUCAGGUGGAUUGAGCUAGUAACUUGUAGCCCAACAACUUGCCAUUGAAUAAACAAUCACAGCAGGCAAGAAAAAUGUUACCUUCAACCCAGAUGACUUGGCAUGGAGCACUGCACCAGCCAGAUCGGCGUCUGUUGUCAGCAGCACUCGGUCGCCUUCAUCAUCUUCAUACUACAUAGAACAAGACCAGUUUAAGUUGGUUAGUGCAGUCAAAUCCCCAUCAUCUUAAAUAGAUGGAAUGAUUAUUGAAAUUUGUUUGUAGCAUCACUGAUGAGAUUACGCAGAGAUGAUGAUGAUGAUGAUGACACAAAGUCAUGAAUGAUAGUACACACAUUGAAGCCCAUAAACACUUUUUCAUUGACAGAACAAGGAAAACUUGCUAUCAGGGUAGCCCCUCGCGGGCCUCCCAAAGGGAGUCCUGCUACGCCAAAAGCGAGGGGACAAUUAAUACCUACCUAUUAGACCCUGGGAAUAUUCUCAAUCCAAAUGCCUACUAAAUUAUAGGAAUAUUCCCAUGCCAAAAUACUCAAUCUUACCAAGAGUUGCAAUGUCUCCUUUUCAUCUGUAAUACUUAAUCUUUGCCUUAUAGAAGACACAAGCUCAUCCAAGCUCUCAGAGCCUGCAGUGAUGAAUUAUGACAAAUUAAUAACCAAUUAUAUUUGGAGAAUCACAACCAUAUCAUACAUCUGCAGGCAAAGUAUGGAACAGGUAAAUACCACAGGUGAAUCUAUGCACACGGCCCUUUCUGUCUUGAAGCUUAAAGGAAAAUGAAUUGCCAAUCACAGGGGGAUAAACACUACUCUUUCCAUCUCCAGCCUCUGAUGGCAGGAGUAAGGAUACCUCACUGAGAAAUACAAGCAAAAUUAUAUUAUAGGAAAACAGAAGAAGACAAAAUAAUACUCAAAAGACCCAUGAACAAACCUAUGACUAUCAAACUCCUCAUCUGGAGGCUCCAAAGCAAGAGCAGAGUCCCAGAACCUCUGCAUUACUGAGUUUGCGACAUCAUUUACAGUUCCAUUCCCUCCUUCAACCUAAAAGUAAAGAAUUAGAUGGAGAAAUUCAGCAUAUGAAACAGAAGAGAGCUGAUGAAAGGAUUAUGGAGUUAGGAAUCACCAAUUGAAUGGUUGCAUGGGUAAGUUGCAGGACAUCCAGGCAAGCAGCAAUUUGUCCAUCUGGUUACAAAAAUGAAGACAUGUAACAGAUAGAGUGGCAGUAAAAUAUUCAUAGACAGAGACAGAAAUCAGGUCGGUCGCACCUCUGUCAAUAACAGGAAUAUGCAAAAAUUUGCCAUCAUGCAUUAUAUGUAGUGCAUCGAGAAUUGUUGUAUCUAAGGUGGCACAAUCUGGGUUGGCAGUCAUCACCUGAAAAAGUUAUAACUAACACAGUUAGGGUGCAACUAAACAAAACUUCGAUAAUGAGAACAAAGAAAAAUAUAAAUAUGGUGGAAUACCUUUUCUACUAGGGUCAACUCAGGGGAAAUAUUUUGUGCAACAACACGCAUAAGUACAUCUUUUGAGCUGCAUAACAUGAUCAUAUAUCAGCGAAUAAUUAGCAAGUAAAUCAUGUACACUACUACUUUACUAAUAUAGAAUGCUUACGUAAAGAUUCCCUGCAAUGUGUUUCCUGUAGCAACGACCACCGAAUUAACUCGAAACUCUCGCAUUUUCUGUGCUGCUACACACACAGGAUCUGUAGGCGAAACAAUUGCUACUCUGGAAGUUGAUAGCAUAGUAAGCACUAUGUUCUCUAUAUUGCUAACAAUUGAAAGAAAAUAGUCUGAGAAAACGGAUGUUAUACUUUGUGUUCUCUGUGAUGAUGGUUGACAAAGAAGGUUUGAACAUCCUCUCUCGUAGAGUUUCAAUGAGAGCAGAAGGAGCUGUAAUAAUAGUAAAUAAAUACCUUUAAAUGAUUGGUAGCAUAAUAGAAAGUAAAAAAAAGAGUUUUGAAACGUGGUUACAAAAAUCAUGAUAUGUAACAGUAGAACAGGAUAUACCUAACAAGUUGGUAUGAUACGAAUUUUUUCACUUGGAUUUAGAAUGAUAAGGCAUACCAUGAUUAUUACUCCCUCCAUCCCAAAUUAUAGAUUGUUUUGGCUUUUCUAGAUGCAUAGAUAUUAGUAUGCAUCUAGACAUAGCAUACAUCUAAGUACAUAACGAUAUCUAUGAAUCUAAAAAAGUCAAAACAACCUAUAAUUUGGGUCGGAGGGAGUAUUUUAUAAAAUAUAACUUAUAUGUUAUAUCAAUGUACUUGCAAGACUAAAUGUUUUUUUUAAUUGAGAUAGCAUGUGUAAUGCAAGACCUGAAAAGUUGCCUCCUAAUUGACGUUCAACUCCUUCAACAGCAGCUGCUAUUGCACUUCCUUGUUCUGCAGCCUUUUCAAGUCUUGCUAUUGCGUCAUAAAGGCAUUUUGCAAUGUCCAACAUAGCAAUAACCUCACCAUUUUCUACUACAGGAAGGUGUCGAAAUUUCCCUAAAAUAUAAAACAAUAUAUAAGAAAAGCUGAUGUUAGUGAAGAAAGAAACAAAUAUCCAACUAAGUGUUGACUCAGGGUUUAUAUGAAAAGACAUGAGAACAGCCAGUCUACACAUACACAGUAUAUACACAAAUAUUGUUGUUGAAAUCAUGCCAAAAACUCAGCAACAUGCCAAACAAAUCCUAGACAUCUCACCAUCCCAAUCAAUUCAUUUGUUACUGAAAAAUUGAGGACUGAGAUACAAUACAGCUAAAUAUGCCUAACCAUCUACCAAAAACUGUGUUUUCAUUGCAAGCAAGUUCAGCCAGUUUGACAGCGACUUAUGGACACAUAUACAUCACAUGAUAAAGUACAAAUUGUUUUUUUCCGCAACAUAAGGUUGUGUUUUGAGACAUAGAAAAUUUGCAUAUUGGUAACAGAAAAAGAUAUGAGUCACACAAGACUUUCAGAAUGUAGCCAAUACUGUUACCAAAAAAAUGUACUCAAAUGGUUAGUGCACUACAAUUACAUAUAAAGAGAACAGCCCACUAUAAAUUAGUGAAAAUAACAGGAAUACACUUGCUCUACUUUGUUUUCAUAUUGUACAUACAAACAGAUAUCUAAUGAACUCUAUCAAAGGGAAUGCCUCACUAGACAUACCUUGAACCAUCUUCUGCAAUGCCUCAAUGGCAAGAGAAUCAGACAUCACAUAAGUUGGAUUGCGUGUCAUGAUCUUGGACAUGAUGGUUUGCUCCACCCUAAGCCCCUCAGCAAUCACCCUUGUAGCUAUAUCCUGCACCCCAAUUCGAAUACAAACAAAUAUGAACAAGAGUCACCUCACCAGUAGUAAAAAUAGGCCAUCACCUGCUUGGUUAAAAAGGAAUUUACAAGGCUGCUUACUUAAAAUUGCUCCAUAGAACAUAAUGAUGAAAAAAUAGAUGCCAGACAGAAGUCAUGUGCAAACCAUCAUCAUUUUACCUUGACUACAUAGAUAGUCUUAGGCAGAAACUAACUACUAAUCAAGUACAAGAACAUUCUCUUCCAUUUUCAGGUCUAGGAAAAACAGAAGGGGAACGAAAAUGGGAAAAAUAUACAGUGGUAAAGCAAAAUAGCAAUGAGUUGUCCAAGUUUGGUAAAAAAAUUGCUUGAUCAAAAGCUCCAAAUAAACGGGAACUUUGUUUUAACAGAAACAGCCACUUGCUAAGCUCCAAACCAAGGAUCUAAUCCAAACAUAGAUUUCCACCCCCCGUACUGAGAAGAUAUGUGGCAUUUUCGACUCCUGUUACAUCAAAUUCAAAAGGUAUCACAUUUUCCUCAGCUCUGAAUGACUAUAAAAGCACAACGGACACACAUUAUAACCAUCACAUUCAACCCAAAAAUAAAGAAAGUAAAAAAGAACACAACCUUGUCGGUGACUAUGCCUGAGAGGAGGCCCUGGGCGUCGGUGAGCAGCACGGCGUCGACCCGCCUCGCCGCCAUCCGCCGGCACGCAUCUGACACCGUGGUCCCCUCCGGAAUCGUCAGCGCCUUAGACAGACGCAGCUUCUUCACCGUCCUCUCCCCUCUGCCCAAACAGACCAAGUAAAAGUCCAAUCUUUGCCGGUCUCGGUUCGAACCGAGGAGACGAAAUGGAAGGACAAGAGUGGCGUAGGCUUGCCGCGCGCUUACGUGAGCUGGUGGGGAGAGGCGGGCUUGGAGGCGGCCUUCCCGUUCCCAUUCCCGUUGGCGGCGGCGGCCGAGGGGUCGUCGGACUUGCGGGAGGAGGCGGAGGGCGGCCGGCUGCGGGUACGGCGGCUAGGUGGCGCCGCCGAAGCGGCUGCGCUCAUGGCGAUGUUUUGCCGCGGGAGCUCGUGGGGAAUAGUGAGGCGGCGGCGGCGGCCGGCGAGGUGGGGAGCAGCUGAUGGAGCGGUGCUUCUGCUCCGUUUCUCCUGACCUCCGGGGCUCCUUCGUUAGCGUGUGGAUGUUUUGCGUUUCAGUCACUCCAGUCCUGGGUUAUCAUGAAAACCUCGUGGUUUGGGAGUUUUCGGACUCAGAAUCCAUUCUUGCUAUUUUUUUUCUGUUUUAAUUAAAACUAAGUUUUCAGCCUAUUGGAAAAAGAUACCACGAUUUACGGUAAUAAUCUUAAAAGAGAACUAAGUUUUCAGACGAUUGGAAAACGAUACCACCGAUUUACGUAAUAAUUUUAAAAGAUACUAUAUCGCAAACUUAGCUAAUUAGCAGCAGCGUAGGAUAACGUGACACUAUCACCGGUCAACUCGCAACGCACAAGCUCAGUGCAUCCUUUUUUUCUUCAAUAGUUUUUUUUGUCUUCAAGAGUUUGCUAACUUUUCAUGACUGAUAAAAAAAAGUUUGCAAAUCAUAAAAAUCUAAGGUGCGCAAACUGUCAAGAUUGGUAAAGUUUUAGGCAAUAAUGAUGCGGUUAAUUCUAAUUCACCCUAGUGCAAAACCUCUAUAUUUCAUCAUUUUUUGGAAAUUUAUCAUGGUAUUUUGAUGACUAGUUGUUAGUAUGCAGUAUGCUUCCUCAAUUGGCACGGUGUUGGUGUGACUGGAUACGGUCGUAGGAACGGUUUUUGGCUAGCAAUGAAUAAGAUCAUGCUAUAUGUUACAAAACAUUAUUAGAGGUCUCCUAAACAGCUCGCCAUUUCAAAGAGUAAUCCAGGCAUCAUUGAAUAAGUACCACAGCUGUUUCUUUCGCUCGCUUGUAGACUUGUACCUGUGGCGGCCAUCCCUUUCUUUGGGACACGAAGGCCAGGCAUCCCAAUCGGGCAGUAAUAACGCGAUAGGUGCAGGGCCUCAUCGAAACAUUCCCCCCAUCAAUUAUAUUUGUAGCAGAAUAUUUGUUAUGCUAAAAAAAGCACUCAUUAACUCGUCAUUGACUCGCAAACCGCGUGCACCACAUGGCCCGCACCCUCCGUAUAUGGCCGUAUCCCACCGUCCCCACAACACCCCCACCGCGUGGGCCCCGCCGCGCAGGAUCGCGUCCACGGUGCACCGGGUCCACGCAGCUUCCCCUCGCCACCGGCCGCCGGGAUGCGGAUUUGAAAAUUUUGAACUUGCGGCCCGCCCCCCGCGGGAUGGAGCCAGCAGCAAGGACCCCUCAAACUUUCGGGAAAUUCCGUACAGACCCCUCGGGGGGCCGUUCGUGGGGCCCGCGCGGCAGUGAGAGCACGUGGCUGCCCGUGGGAGGAAAGGAAACAAACGGACGGAGGGGCGGGCGGCAGCGUGCAGCGGCGGAUGGCCACAGGAGUUGGGUGGCUCUGGCGCCGCCAUGGCGUGCGAUCCGUGCAUCAUGUGUCAGUCCAGGGGAGGAGAGGAUGGGACAAGAAAACCUUGGCGGCCAAGCGACACAACACACGGGGGCGCCAGGAGAUCCAUCCACACGCAUGCAGGCACUUGCGGCUUCUGUGGCAAGCACGUGAGCCACGCCGAGCGCACUCCGAGUUUAGUUGGCUGGUGUUUCUUUGUCGCGCGCCAGGUGUUCGACCGCGCGCCCCACAGGGACGCCUUCCUCUGGAACGUCGUGCUCCAAGGCUACGCGCGGGCCGGACCGUCACACGGGCGAGAGGCAAUCGCGCUCUUCGCGCGCAUGCACGCGAGCACCGGGGCGCCCGCGGCAUCCAACAUCUACACGUACACGUUCGACGUCAAGGCGUGCUUUCGUGGCCGACGCGCUCGUCGCGUUCUACGCCAGGCGCGGCGACGUGGCGGCGGCGGCGAGGAAGGUGUUCGACGUGGCCGCCGCCAAGGACGUCGUGAGCUGGAUUCCAACUCGUUGAUCGCCGGCUACGCCCAGAACGGGCGCUCGGACGAGGCGGUCGCGCUGCUCCGUUCCAUGCCGCGGCGCGACGUGCCGGCCAGACCUCGUCACCUUGUGGGGGUGUUUGGAUCCCCGGACUAAAUUUUAGUCCCUGUCACAUCGAAUGUUUGGACACUAAUUAGGAGUAUUAAACAUAGGCUAAUUACAAAACCAAUUUCACAACCCCUAGGCUAAAUCACGAGACGAAUCUAUUAAGCCUAAUUAGUCCAUAAUUUGACACUAUGAUGCUACAGUAAACAUUCGCUAAUGAUGGAUUAAUUAGGCUUAAUAGAUUCGUCUCGCGAUUUAGCCUACGGGUUCUGCAAUUAGUUUUGUAAUUAGCUCAUGUUUAGUCCUCCUAAUUAGCAUCCGAAUAUCCGAUGUGACACAGACUAAACUUUGGCUGCAGGAUCCAAACACCCCCUUAGUCGCCGUGCUCCCGGCCUGCGCGGCGUCGGCGGCCAAUCCACGGGCCACAGUUGCUGUUUUUUGACAAAAAAAAAAUCCUGCACACCAAAGUACGUACUGCUCUGGUAGCUUCGGAAUGGUUUUGUCCUUCCUGAUCCCAGUACUGCUCUUUUCUUUAGCAUGCUUGCAAGAUUCAAGAUCAUGUGGGCCUUGUUUACUUCCCAAGUUGGAAGUUGCAAAAUUGGCAUUUUGCCAUAAAUGCGACACUGUAGCGUUUCGUUUGUAUUUGUAAAUUAUUGUCCAAAUAUUGACUAAUUAGGCUUAAAAGAUUCGUCUCGCAAAGUACAACAAAACUGUGCAAUUAGUUUUUGAUUUCGUCUACAUUUAGUACUCCAUGCAUAUACCGCAAGUUUGAUGUGAUGGGGAAUCUUCUUUUUGCAUAGUGUCAAAGUUGGGAGUUUGGAGGGAAGUAAACAGGCGUGGUCUUGCAAGAUGGAAAAAGUAAAGAAACGCACUGAAUCUCUACUACAUUACAUGUACGGAGCAGCAGAAUGACCGCACCGAAUUCUUUCCACCGAGAAAGACCUGCGCGAAAAAUAGCACCCGCUUGUCCUGGUCUCCGGCGUCGGCGUCCAUUCUCGUAGCCAAGAAGUUGACAUGGUAGAUUCCCUGCAUCCGGACGUCGCUUCUUGCCACGGUACAGAUGGUGUCAAACUUGUAGCUUUCGUCCCGCCAGAUCCAAGAAUUACUACUAAUUACUGGUGUGUAAAUUUCAAACAGCACCAGCAACAGAAAAUAAUCAGAUACUUAGGAGAUGAAAACAAAUUACCAGCAAGAGGCAGACGCUGUCCAUUAGGAAGCUUUGUUUCCUUUCGAAUGCCCUUCUCUCCUUGGCUAUUUCUGCCAGGGCCCUUCGAUGCAUCACCGUCACAACCGGUGGUGACUUGAAGACGGGAAGGGUCGUCGCAUGCGAAGACAGUAACGUGGAGAUGUGAUCCAUGGCCUCAAUGGAUAGCUCAUGGCCUUCCGCAGGCAGGAGAUCACACAGCUUGGCUUCUAAUGCAGGCGUCAUAGAAUCCAAGUGCGCCAUCAUGGCAGCCUGCCUGGGGUGUUUCAUGGCCUUGACUGCAGCCUCGGUGGCAGACAAGUCGUCGCUGGAGCUUACGACAGCAUGGUGCCCGGCCCCUUCCGCCAGCUCUGCCGCGACACGGAGGGCUCCAGUCUGCACCGCCCUGACAUAGACUUCUUUGGCACGGUGUUUGCUGAGGUGCCGCCGCCGGCGAUGGCGGCGCCGCCAGCGAACAUCGUCGACGACCAGCCGGCGCCGACGCCUCAGGUGCCGCAAAAGAGGCACAGCAAGAGGCUGCUGGCCAGGCCUUCUUCUGUCCCGGUGUCUCGCAGGUCGACGCACCGACUGAUGCGCCAGCUUGACAUCGUGGGGCAGGACCAGGCAAUUGGAGAUGAGGCGGCGGCGCAGUACGAGAAGAUGUACAAGGGACCGAUGCCGAGGAAGACGGUGGCGGCCCUGGCGGCUGUCUCCCGCGUUGCUAGUGGUGUGGUGAUGGCGGCCCUUGCUGCAAUCAACUGUUGUGGGUCUUGUGGGUGUCGUCUAUUGGUGAUAAUGAAUAGCAACUUUGCAAUUUUCAACUGGAACGUCAGGGGCCUCAAUUCAGCUGCGCGCCGUGAGGAGGUGCUCAAGUUGUUACAGGCAUCUCGUCCAAUGCUAGUCUGCUUGCAGGAGUCCAAGCUAGAAGAAAUCACUGACAGUUUGGCAGUGGAGUUUCUUGGACAACGCCUAUCCAGUUUCAGUUACCUACCAGCCCUGGGAGUUAGUGGUGGGAUCAUCCUGGCUUGGGAUGAUGAUCACAUUCAGGCAGGCAGUGUCUCUCUGAAGGAAUUCUCUCUGACAGCAACUGUUACACAACGCCUCACAAAUGUCUCCUUCAUUAUCACUGUUGUGUAUGGACCGGCCACAGAUGCAGAUAAACCUCGUUUUCUGGAAGAAUUGAAAGGGAUCAAGCCAGUGGACAACCAACUUUGGUUAUGUCUGGGAGAUUUCAAUUUGAUAUACUCAGCCCAAGAUAAAAACAACCUGAACCUGAACCGUCGCUUCAUGGGGAUGUUCAGAAGAACUCUGGAUCAAUGUGAGCUGCUGGAGAUAUGCUCUGCAAAAUCGUAAGUAUACUUGGAGCAAUGAAAGGGAGCGGCCAACACUUGUCAGACUUGAUCGAGUCUUUUGCAAUAAAGAGUGGGAUAUUGCUUUUCCGUCUAUUUGCUUGCAUGCACUGUCCUCUUCAGCUUCAGACCACUGUCCAUUAUUUCUGUCACAAAUCCGACAACAGCCCCAGCGAGAGCGGUUCAAGUUUGAACAAUUUUGGACAAAGGUUCCUGAUUUCCUUGAUGUGGUCAGAAAUGCUUGGGAGCUGCCGGUCACGGGCAUAUCAGCUUUGAAUAUUCUUCAUCACAAAAUGUGCAACACAGCUAAGGCACUUCGUUCUUGGAGUAGCUCUAUUUUUGGUGAAGCGCUCCUACAGUUCCACAUGGCCCAAGAGAUAAUCCUCAGGUUAGAUAUGGCUCAGGAUACACGAGUACUGACAGAGGAGGAGAAGAAGCUGAGGAAAGCAUUGAAGGUGAGAGUGCUGGGACUAGCAGUUGUGGAACGCUCACGCCGACGACAAUGUUCCAGACUGACUUGGCUCAAGGAGGGUGAUACUUGUACAAAGUUUUUUCAUUUGAAAGCAAAUGCAAGAAGAAGGAAAAACUUCAUCCCAAGUCUCACAAAAAGCAAUGUUGAUAUCAUCUGGUCUCAUGAGGAAAAGGAAGAGGAAAUAGCACAGCAUUUUCAGAACACAAUUGGCAAAAAGGAACAAUGCGCAUGCAGCUUCAAUUGAGAUGACCUGGAAAUGGCAGGAGUUCAGAUGGAGGGCUUGGAUGCACCAUUCACUGAGGAAGAAAUCUGGUCAGCAAUCUCUCAAAUGCCCUCGGAAAAGGCACCAGGUCGUGCCUUCUAUAAGAUGUGUUGGCCAAUAGUUAAGAUUGAGGUGGUCAAUGCUUUUGCAUGCAUCUACAACAUGCAUACUGGCCCAUUAUUUAAAUUGAAUGGGGCGUCAAUAUCUCUGCUACCAAAGAAAGAGCUGGCAGAGAGAGUGCAAGACUUUCGGCCCAUUAGCCUGAUCCACUCAUUUGCAAAGAUUGUAUCAAAGGUGUUGGCACUGAGAUUGGCACCGUUCAUUGACAGUUUAAUAUCUAACUCGCAGAGUGCAUUUAUCAAGAGAAGAUGCAUCCAAGAUAUUUUUUAUAUGUCAGAAAUCUAGCCAGAUCCUACCACAGGACCAAAACACCUGCCCUGCUGUUGAAACUGGACAUAUCUAAAGCUUUUGACUCUGUCUCUUGGGAAUACUUGCUAGAGUUGCUACAGAAACGAGGUUUCCCUGCAAGAUGGAGGGACUGGCUGGCACUAAUCUUCACUAGUUCAUCCUCUUCAGUGCUGCUAAAUGGAGUGCCUGGUCCAAUAAUCAAGCAUCAACGUGGUCUUCGACAAGGGGACACCCUCUCCCCCUAUCUGUUCAUCUUGGCGAUUGACACCUUGCAGAAUUUAUUCAAGAUUGCUACUGACGAAGGAUGCCUGUCCACAAUAAGGGGUCGGCAUGCCAAACUGCGCCUAUCUCUUCAUGCUGAUGAUGCGGUGAUAUUUGUGAACUCGUUGAAACAAGAUGUAGAUAUGGUGGUUGAGAUAAUGCAAAGGUUCGAUGAUGCCAUAGGAUUGAGAAUCAAUCUGCAGAAGAGCACAGUAGCAAGCAUUGGAGGACAUGACCUGGAUUUGGAUGAAAUCCUAGCUUCUUUCCCAGAACAACGUGUGGGUUUUCCCAUUACCUACCUUGGCAUUCCGAUCGUGCUGGGUCGUCUACGUUUGGUACACCUACAAAAUGUGCAAGACAAGGCAGUUGCAAAGAUGUCAGGUUGGCAGUGCAAACUUCUGAAUCCGGGAGGACGCAGGGUGCUUGUGCGCUCGGUUCUUAGUUCAUUGCUAGUGUACCUACUCACGGUGAUUAAGCCCCCAAAGAAAUUCAUCAAAGAUUUUGACAAGGUGCGCAGGCGUUUUCUCUGGGCUGGCAAUCAGCAGCUGCAUGGAGGGAAAUGCAAGGUUAGCUGGGCAAGAUUACAAAGUCCAAUUAAGAGGGGCGGCCUGGGGAUUACUGAUCUCGAUGCUUUCAGCAGAGCACUUCGUCUAAGAUGGCUAUGGUUUCGCUGGAAAUACCCAGAGCGUCCAUGGGUUGGCAUGGAGUUACCUGUUGAUGACUUGGACAUGGCCCUUUUCGCAGCAGCAACAAAGUUCACGGUUAACAAUGGACGAACUGCUAGCUUGGUAGUGCACCAGCCAUGCUCUUUCCACACCUGUACAAGCACAGCAAAAGGAAAAACAGAACAGUAGUAGAGGCAAUGCAGAAUGAACAAUGGAUUUCAGAUCUUAUGCAUGAUCUCACGGUGCCACUCUUGGAUGAAUUUGUGAAGCUAUGGGGACUGAUUGAGGAGGCCCAGUUUGAUCAUGGCGCCACAGAGCCAGACACAAUACUCUGGACAAGAACUGCUUCAGGUGAAUAUUCAGCAAGAUCGGCAUACGACAUGCAAUUUGAAGGUGGUGCCCUCUCGUCGUUCCCAAAGACGGUUUGGAAGGUCUGGGCACCUUUCAGGUGCAAGUUUUUCAUGUGGUUGCUCCUACAGAACAGAGUCUGGACAACUGAUAGGCUGCUGCUCAGAGAAUGGCCUAACUCAUACUUCUGCCAGAUGUGUUACAGCAGUCUUGAGACAGCACGUCACCUGGUGUCCAGUUUCUUCUUCCAUUUGGCAAGCAGUCGGCACCUGGUGUGGUCGCGCCUCCCUGCAACCUAAUGCCUGGAACAAAGAGGCUGAUCUGGUGGGUUGGUUCCAUAAUUUGGCUGGAAGUGCUAUGGACGCUGCUACGAAAGGAGCUCGCUCCAUGGCGAUACUGGUAGUGUGGACGAUAUGGUGUGAGCGAAACAACAGAAUUUUCAACAAUCAGGAGAAGCCGAUCGCAAAGCUUGUUGAGGAUGUUAAGGAUGUUGCUCGUCUAUGGUGUGUGGCUGGAGCCAAGCACUUGGCUGUCAUAGUUGAUAGAUCAGGCCGCGAGUAAUCGCUGUAAUGUUUUUUUUUCUUCCGUUGUUGCGGGCCUAUUUCGAUGCCCCGGCCUAUCCUUCAGGAUGGGUUACUAAAACUUGGCGCCUCUGGUGCCUGUAAUUGCUUCUCUUUUUAUUAAUUAACGCCGGGAAUCAUUCCGGGUCUUUCGAAAAAAAAAGACACGGAGGUUGCAGUUAGUGAAGUAGAGGUACUCCAAGGCACCGUGGCCGGACAACAUGCUGUACUUGGUGCAGAGGAAGACGACCUGGGCAGUGAGGGCGUUGAACCCAUUACGAAGCAUCAGGUCAGUGCAGAUCAUGUUUUCGUUUUCAUGUGCUGGGAAGUUGAGCUGGUACCGUAUCGCAUUGAGGAGGAUGUUGAAGAUAGGGUCCUCGAGUGGACCGUACAAGUAACCUCUGAGCACUAGCCCAUGGUGAAGCACCAUUGCUGAAGCUGGAGGCAGCUGGGAUAUUGCGCUGAGGUGCGUGGAUGUAAUCGACAAGUAGCGCCUCGAUUCUCUUCGGAGACAAUUCCUUAUUUGACGCCAGACAAAUGACUCGUUCCUUUCUUGGCUCUUAAAAAAUUUUAGUUUGCUAUUUGACACCGGUUCAACUUUCGUUCUUUAUAUGAUAAUAUGUUGGAUUUUCCGUCUGGUAACCGUUAAAUACCCUGCAAAAAGACGAUUUUGUCCUGUGGGUCCCACCACCCUUCUCCUUCCUCUCCUCCCCUCCUCCCUCCUCUGCUCCACACCACGCCCGGCCGUGCCUCCCCCUUGCUCCACACCGUCACCCUCCGUCCAACCGCGCCUCCCUCAUUCCUCCUCAUUGCCGCAGGGGUCGGCCGCGCCCCUCCACGUCCAGGUCACCGGCAGCGCACCCAGCCGGGACCCGAGCUCGAGGAAGUCGGGCGCCAGGAGCGGCCUUUGGUCGUGCGCCGCGUAGGGGAGCAGCGUGGCCGCCGGCCGCGCGUGCAGCCUGCCCUCCGCCCAUGCCAUCCACGCCUCACUCCGCUUUCUCCGUGACUGCGACACCACGCUCGCGCACAUCGACCAUGGCCGCCCGCUCACAUCGCAGGACCACCGCUACGGCUCGUACGCCCCGCCGACGCCGGCGACGAUGGCGGCCGGGGUGUUGCCCCCGCGCACGCGGGAGAAGGAUUUGCAGCGGCAUAGGUCCAGCAGCGUGGAGGCAGCGGAGCCCGAGGGGCCACCUCCGGCCGCGGCGGCGGUGUUGAACGGCUGGGAGAAGAGGGAGCGGAUGGCGGAGGUGGACUUGCGGCUCGGCGCAGCGGCCACGGCAGCGGAGGCCUUGAGCCCGGCCAGGUGCUCGCGGAGGUAGGCGGCGCAGAAGCCCGUGAAGGACUCCCCGUGGUGGAGAUCGCAGGUGGUGCUCACCGACCGACGUGGAGGUGGCACUGGUGAGGCUCCAUCUGCAGGCGGCGAUGAUGCGGCGGGCGCCACUGGAUCCGACCUGCCCGCGCGCGUUCCAGAGGCGCAGCCGUUUCGACACCCACGAGGUGUUCCUAGACCCCGCGAGGCGCGCCGACCCGGCCGCUGCCGGCGCACACAGCGAGAUCGUGCGGUGUGGAGCAGAGGAGGGAGAAGGGAAGGAGAGGAGGGAGAAGGGUGGUGGGGUCCAAGAGAUAAAAUCAUCUUUUCGUAGGGCAUUUAACGGUGGUUGGAUGAAAAAUCGAACAGAGUGUUAAUUUAGGAACAAAAGUUGAAGUCAGUAUCAAAUGAGGAAGGAAAAAAUUUUAAGAGCACGAAAGGAACGGAUCAUUUGUCUAUCUGGUGUCAAAUAAGUAAUUAUCCGUAAUCGCAUGGAGAGACCUCCGAGUCCCAACCCGCUUGCUGGUCCUUGAGUAGGGAUGAGCAGCGGUGGGUGCAUGUGUUUAGAUUCUGACAACUCGCCACCGGCACCACUGCGUCAUCAGUGUCAGGGUAGCUCAACCGCAGGUUGUAGAGAUACCGGCCGUCCGGUGCUCUCCCGUACUUCAGAGAGCUGUAGAUGUCAUCGACAGCGACCUUGCAGAGCUGAUCGGUACGCAGCCAUGCCGCGAUCCUGUCCACAUGGUCGGCAACAAACGUUUCGGUGGCGAGCGCGACCAGGCGAUCAGGGUUGGGGUGCUCAGCAGCCAUGGCAGCGUACAUGAGCGAGUCCUUGAUCGUGAGGAUCCAGGCGUCAUCAUCAAAGCUGGGCAGCAGCGCCUCCUCAACCAGGCACUGCGUGUCGAAUUCUCGCUCGACAAGAUCCAUGGCCAAGUAGAUGUCAGCCUUGGCCAAGUAGAGGUACCCCACGGCCUGCUCCAAGGUGAGGUAGCGAUACCCGCUCAUCAAGAAUGUGGUGAGACCAUCCAGAGAUCUCUCCGCCGUGUUCUGCCAGUACCAGCUGCUGUGCAUCUUGUCGAGGAACUCGGUGGUGAUGUCCUCCCUCUUGUACGGUCCUUGGCCACUUCGGCCAUGCGCGACGUGGCGUGGAGGAUGACGUUGGAGACCGGCUCCAGGAGGCCGUAGCAGUGCCCGGCGACGGAGAGGCAAUGUAUCGGAUUCGGGUAGUCGCGGAUGGGGAGGCGGUCAAGCGCCUCCACGUAGAACCCGCAUAUGGUGUCGAGCAGGGCUUGAUGGGGAUCCUCUCGAUCAAUGCCGCUGUCGCCACAGCAGCAAACUGGGAGGUGGUUGCUGGCCAUUGGAGAGCAAGCACACCGGCGGCUGGCUGUUCCGGCGAGUCGACGACGAUGCUGAUUGUUAGGGCCUUGGGAUGCCGGUUGAUGAUGUUACUUGCUCCAGGCCUUCUCGGGGCUCAGGACACGGCUGGUACGAGAUACCGUGUCCGAUUCCGUUUGGAUGACAGCGGAGAUGGGAGUGAAAGAAACAAGGAAUUCGACUUGGACUCGGCCAGGCCCGGACCACGGACACCGAUAGGGUAGGAGGAGAAAGUGGGUCCCAGGAGAAAGAAACCUCACACCGGCCGGCUCGUCUCCUCGUCCUGUUCGGACAAGACUGCAAAGCCUGUUAGUCAUCUCCUACCGUCAUCACCAUCUCCUCCCAACCAGCUCAUUACACUAGGGACGGACGUGCGUUCGAAUUACCAGAAUUGGUUACUUGAGAGAACUUCAUCAACACAGUUACACAAGGGUAUCGCGUUUUCAGUAGGGAUUAGUAGGUUUUAUAAAACUUUAUCAUCUGCUGGACCAUUUUAGUUGUACAGAGAGGAAACACGAGUAGUAGUAGUGAAGAAAAAGAGGGAAGGAUCAUUUUAUGCCCAUUCAACAAUCUAUGCAAAAUACUCGAUCGAUCAACUUCAUAAUUUAAUUUCUCUUAUACAUAUAGUAUAGCAUUACCAUGCCUCAAGCUUGCAUCUCAAUGGCGAGCUCGAUCUUUGCAGUAGCUAGCAGUAGUAACUAACGGCACGCACAAAGCAUCGAUGAGCACCAUGCAUGGAUCAUCACAGCGAAGACGUGCUUAGCUUGCGUAACCAGUAUGUAUCGUCGGAGUAGCUAGCCGAUGAAUUAGUAGCUGUAGUUCUUGACGAACAUGCCCUCCUUGGCCUCGGCGGCCUCGCCGUCGGAGGUGUACUUGCCGAGCUGCGCCAGCGAGUUGGCCUUGGCGCGCAGCAGCAGCGCGUCCUGCGCCGCCUUGACGUUCUCCGGCACGCCGCCCCACGUCUUGAGGCAGGUGUUCUGCAGCGCCCGCGCGUAGGAGAAGGACACGUGCCACGGGUUGGGCCCCUGGUUCAUGGCGUUGAGGUUCUGCGUCGCCUCCACCUCCGACUGCCCGCCGGAGAGGAACAUGAUGCCGGGGACGGAGGGCGGGAUGCGGCGGUGGAGGAGCUUCAGGGUGUACUCGGCGACCUGCUCCGGCGUGGCCCGGUCCUUAGCCUCGGCGCCCGGCGUCACCAUGGAUGGCUUGAGCAGGAUGCCCUCGAACAUGACGUUGUUCUCCGCCAUGGCGUAGAAGGUCUCGGCCCACACCUUCUGCGCCACCUCGAAGGUCCGCUCGAUGCCGUGCUCGCCGUCCAGCAGGAUCUCCGGCUCUACGAUCGGCACAAGUCCGU